This 350-nucleotide unclassified non-coding RNA is filed under the name plant metagenome. Its description in RNAcentral is "partial contains 5.8S ribosomal RNA, internal transcribed spacer 2, and large subunit ribosomal RNA". The stretch from base 1 to 105 matches the Rfam family "5.8S ribosomal RNA", at positions 50 to 154 of the family's 154-position model. The record is from RNAcentral.
GAAAUGCGAUAAGUAAUGUGAAUUGCAGAAUUCAGUGAAUCAUCGAAUCUUUGAACGCACCUUGCGCUCCUUGGUAUUCCGAGGAGCAUGCCUGUUUGAGUGUCAUGGAAUUCUCAACUCUAUUUGCUUUUGUGAAUAGAGCUUGGAUCUGGAGGUUUAUUGCUGGUACUUGUGAUCGGCUCCUCUUGAAUGCAUUAGCUCGAACCUUUGCGGAUCAGCUAUCGGUGUGAUAAUUGUCUACGCCGUUGCAGUGAAGCAUAUCAAUGGGCUCGGCUUCCAAUCGUCCUUUACUGGACAAUGACUUUGACCUUUGACCUCAAAUCAGGUAGGAUUACCCGCUGAACUUAAGC